This 316-nucleotide ribosomal RNA is filed under the name Frigoribacterium faeni. RNAcentral's name for it is "bacterial SSU rRNA". It matches the Rfam family "Bacterial small subunit ribosomal RNA", at positions 56 to 371 of the family's 1533-position model. The record is from RNAcentral. Lineage: Bacteria; Bacillati; Actinomycetota; Actinomycetes; Micrococcales; Microbacteriaceae.
UGCAAGUCGAACGCUGCGCUGGAGCUUGCUCCAAGGAUUGAUGGCGAACGGGUGAGUAACACGUGAGUAACCUGCCCUUGACUCUGGGAUAAGCGCUAGAAAUGGCGUCUAAUACCGGAUACGAGCUUCAGCCGAAUGGCUAGGAGUUGGAAAGAAUUUUGGUCAAGGAUGGACUCGCGGCCUAUCAGCUAGUUGGUGAGGUAAUGGCUCACCAAGGCGACGACGGGUAGCCGGCCUGAGAGGGUGACCGGCCACACUGGGACUGAGACACGGCCCAGACUCCUACGGGAGGCAGCAGUGGGGAAUAUUUGCACAA